AAAAAAUGGCAAGGUCAGUACGAAUAUAAGUACCACACGUUAGCUGGUGUGGAUGAGUGGCGAACGGGUGAGUAAUACGUGAGUAACCUGCCCUUGACUCUGGGAUAAGCCCGGGAAACUGGGUCUAAUACUGGAUGCUACAUGUCACCGCAUGGUGGUGUGUGGAAAGGGUUUACUGGUCUUGGAUGGGCUCACGGCCUAUCAGCUUGUUGGUGAGGUAAUGGCUCACCAAGGCGACGACGGGUAGCCGGCCUGAGAGGGUGACCGGCCACACUGGGACUGAGACACGGCCCAGACUCCUACGGGAGGCAGCAGUGGGGAAUAUUGCACAAUGGGCGAAAGCCUGAUGCAGCGACGCCGCGUGAGGGAUGACGGCCUUCGGGUUGUAAACCUCUUUCAGCAGGGAAGAAGCCACAAGUGACGGUACCUGCAGAAGAAGCGCCGGCUAACUACGUGCCAGCAGCCGCGGUAAUACGUAGGGCGCAAGCGUUGUCCGGAAUUAUUGGGCGUAAAGAGCUCGUAGGCGGUUUGUCGCGUCUGCUGUGAAAGCCCGGGGCUUAACCCCGGGUGUGCAGUGGGUACAGGCAGACUAUAGUGCAGUAGGGGGAGACUGGAAUUCCUGGUGUAGCGGUGUGAAUGCGCAGAUAUCACCGAGGAACACCCUAUGGCGAAAGGCUCGUCUCUGGGGCUGUACUGACGCCUCAAGAGCUGAUAGCAUGGGGAGCGAACACGAUUAGAUACACCUGGUGAGUCCCUGACGCCAUGUCGUGGCCCUAGUUGUUGGUCGAAAAUACUCCCGUUUUUUCCGCCGAUACAAGAGUUAUAUAUUUGACUCGCUGGGUGGACUCGGGGGCAGGCUGACAAUAAAUAGACUGAGAUUGAGCGCCCGGCUCCCCCACGAACAUGAACAAUGAUUCUAAUCAAUUCUACCUAAAAAACUAACUACUGAU
Molecule: ribosomal RNA, 950 nt
Filed under: Kocuria sp. BBT04
Lineage: Bacteria; Bacillati; Actinomycetota; Actinomycetes; Micrococcales; Micrococcaceae
Description: bacterial SSU rRNA
Rfam family: Bacterial small subunit ribosomal RNA (bases 1-838)
Source: RNAcentral